UGUUAGCCAUGCAUGCACCAUGGAUGAGGCCAGACCUACAAUUAUUAAACGGGCAAUCUGCGAUUGGUACAUCCAUUUGAAAUAACUUAUAAAUGUACCUGCCUCAUGAGGUUAGUGUGACUGCUUUGUUAUUGUUGUUUGAACUGCAGACUGGCCCUUCAAAGCUAUGGGGUGGGUUUCCAUUUGUGAAAUUCUACAGGUUUUUGUCUAUUUGAGUUGCCGAAUUCUAGUAACUUUUUCAAGAUUCCCAGUCUUGCAGAAAGCCCAGUUGGGAUGCAAACUGGGAAUUUCGGGAAAUGUAUCAGCAUUUUGCAACUGUCUUUCCAUCUGUGACAUCCGGCGCAUGCCGUACGAUGAUGUAUCGGGAGGUAUCAAGAGAAGAAUGGGUGUGUUUAUAAAUCAACAGACAUGAAAACAACACAAUACAUCAUAAGGUCAAAUGCAUCAACACACCCUAACGUGAGUAAGCAGCUCAGAAUACUGUUCUUUCUGCAACCUCUCCCCUACUUCCUUCCAAUAUUGCAUGUUAUCCGUGCAGCUGUGCGUUCAUGCUUAGAGAUAAUUGACAAAAAAAAAAGAAAAUUGAAAACACUCCACCUGGAGGGUUAAUAGUCAAGUGUUUCACGUUACUGAUUAAACGCUCACUGGUUAGCUGUGAAUUGUUGCUGAAUGAACAGCAUGUGGGAGUACUUUACUGUUUGUCUGUGUUGUGUUUCUGGGCAGAGCUGGGUUCACGUAGUAUUUGUUUCCUUUGAAUGUUUGAUUGAGCCAUUCCGGAGUGCCAUUUGAGCAGGGUUUGCACCUUGCACUUUUGGUACUAUUCCAUUGGCUCCAUGUGCAACAGGCAAGCUCAGUCAAGCGCAGAUGACGUAUUUGAAAGGUCACAAAUACUAUCCGAACCCAUGCCUGGUUUCUGGGUAGCUGUCAGGCUCCUGGUUCUGGGUAGCCUUUCCUCAUAUAAUAUAUUUGAUGUGCUCGUUUUUGUUCCAUUGUUGUUAUCCAGAGUCUACGUGUUGUUUCAUAGACCUACUCCACAUUGGCUGGAGACAGAGCAAUGAAACAAGCCCGAAAUGGGAGCAUAUCUCCAAAACAGACAAAUUAGUUUGGAUUAUGCGUCAUUUAAGUGCAAAUGAAUUGGAAGAUAAGCCAGCAUGGAGUCUGGUUGGGGUACAUGGAUGCCAACAAGUGCAUCGAGGAGCUACUCAAACAGCUGGACGAAGAGCGGAGGAAUGUCCGAAGGGAGAAACUGGCCGUGGCUCGCCUGCAGAGGGAAGUCGCACGAAGCAAAAGCGAAGGAACAAUGGUACUGUUGAUGCUCUGUCUUACACACAGACACACCACACACACACAUUAUCAGUCUUAAACCCACAGCCCACAGUUGUAGGCAUGCCAGUCCUGCUCGGUCAUCGACCAAGGUCACUGCACUGCUAACUUUCCUCAACCAAAAACAUAUAUUUACGUUGGGUCUUGCAGCACUAUUCCGGGUGGCAAUUCUAGGUCUUGCUCCCAUCGCCAUGGUAUUAUCAACCCAUAUUAUGGCUCAUUAGUGCUGCAGAUUUCAGGGAUGACGUCAAAUGUAGCGCUUAAACACACACACACACAGACACACACACACACAGACACACACAGCGGUUGUAUAACAAGGGGAAAGCAGACCAGGGAGCCAGUCGUGCUGACGCAGAGGGCGUGAGGUAGGGUUCGCAGUGAGUGGACUGACAGUGUGACAGAGCAGAUACCAGCUGACCACGGUCUCUAGAGCGACAGCCAGGCCUUGGACUCAGCUGUUUAGAACCGCAGUAAAGCCCCAAAUAGCUUCAUAAAAGAGCGCUAUGGCAGCAAUCCUAAAGCAGACUUGAGAUUUACAUACUCUAGGAUCACCAUAUCUACAAUGCUUUUUCGUGGUGGUAGUGGUCUCGAGUUCCAGCCUGGGCUCGUAACAUUAAAACACAGUAGGACAGACAUGGAUAUGAACAACACUAUAUACUGUAUAGAGUGGCAAGCAUACGCAUCAUGACAAUGGCCGCAUACUGUACAUAGCCUUCUUUGUAUAGAUGGUCCUGUAUGGCUCAGUUGGUAGAGCAUGGUGCUUGCACUGCCAGGGUUGUGGGUUUGAUUCCCACAUGGGACCAGUAUGAAAAUGUAUGCACUUAUUGCUGUAAGUUGCUCUGGAUAAAAACAUUCGCUAAAUGACGAUGUCGAUGGUAAGAGAAAUGUUUCCUGGAAGCCCCCCAUGGAGUCUUUGGAAAAGACUUGGAUGUUAGUUUGUGACUGUGAAGAACGACCUACCCAGUGUAUUGAUUUCUGCAAUGCGGUUCCUGAGGCAUGCUGUAGCUGUCUGCAAGGUCAGACGUGACCAUGCAAUCAGAGUCACAUGUGUCUUAACACAGUGCAGGCUCUCGCUGUUGAGGCUCACUGUAGCAAAUUCCAUACAGUCCCAGCACAAGAGAAGGAAGUUCCCACAUAGCUCUUAUCUCAGGCUCCAUUGGGAAACUCUGUGUGUCAGCACCUCGUCCUGUAGUCAGUCAGACUAAGAGACUGAUUAGCCUCUGACCUUAGUGAAGAGCUAGGAGGGAAAUAUCUACUGCCUGGCUGAGCGAGGCUUUCUCUGACUACUGCUUCUUCGAGUCAUGAGAGUGGAUGCCAUGCUAAUUACAACUCCGGGUGUGUUUGUGAGGAAAGGGGGGUGGAGGAGGGAUGAGUUAUCUAUGCCAGACAGGAGGAGGGGAAGGGAGUGGUAAAAGAAGAAUGUGGGGUGUGUGUGUGUCUCUCUGAGCUCCAUUUUGAAAUUGGGAUUAUCCCUCCUCUCACACACACAUGCCUGGGAGAUGCUCCUCUCCUCUGGGAGCUCAGGCAUGGUCUUUAGGGUCUUUAAUAGAAAUCAAACCAGAGGGCUGCAUCAGGGAGAUAAUUGUUAAUGUGAUGGCAAGGUGAAAUAGAGAGUAACCUCCUCACACACAGACAAGUAAUGAUAUACAGAUACCAACACAGACACACACACAGCCUCCAGAAGACGACAGAUGAAAUGCUGUAGACUUUGAAGUGUGCAUCUCUGACCCUCCUCUUUAACUAGUUAUGCUCUCUUCUCUGUGGCGGGAGG
Oncorhynchus mykiss (rainbow trout) is the source of this 3097-nucleotide long non-coding RNA. The record is from Ensembl. NCBI's taxonomy places the organism in Eukaryota, Metazoa, Chordata, Actinopteri, Salmoniformes, Salmonidae.